UACGUAGGUGGCAAGCGUUGUCCGGAAUUAUUGGGCGUAAAGAGCGUGUAGGCGGCCUGACAGGUCUGCUGUGAAAACUCGAGGCUCAACCUCGAGAUGUCGGCGGAAACCAUUUGGCUAGAGUCCGGAAGAGGAAAGUGGAAUUCCUGGUGUAGCGGUGAAAUGCGCAGAUAUCAGGAAGAACACCCGUGGCGAAGGCGGCUUUCUGGGACGGUACUGACGCUGAGACGCGAAAGCGUGGGGAGCGAACAGG
Molecule: ribosomal RNA, 253 nt
Filed under: uncultured bacterium
Lineage: Bacteria
Description: partial 16S ribosomal RNA
Rfam family: Bacterial small subunit ribosomal RNA
Source: RNAcentral